RNAcentral lists this ribosomal RNA (608 nucleotides) under uncultured Pseudomonadota bacterium. Its description in RNAcentral is "bacterial SSU rRNA". It matches the Rfam family "Bacterial small subunit ribosomal RNA", at positions 48 to 644 of the family's 1533-position model. The record is from RNAcentral. Lineage: Bacteria; Pseudomonadati; Pseudomonadota.
CUAACACAUGCAAGUCGAACNGGUAACAGGAAGCAGCUUGCUGUUUCGCUGACGAGUGGCGGACGGGUGAGUAAUGUCUGGGAAACUGCCUGAUGGAGGGGGAUAACUACUGGAAACGGUAGCUAAUACCGCAUAACGUCGCAAGACCAAAGAGGGGGACCUUCGGGCCUCUUGCCAUCGGAUGUGCCCAGAUGGGAUUAGCUAGUAGGUGGGGUAACGGCUCACCUAGGCGACGAUCCCUAGCUGGUCUGAGAGGAUGACCAGCCACACUGGAACUGAGACACGGUCCAGACUCCUACGGGAGGCAGCAGUGGGGAAUAUUGCACAAUGGGCGCAAGCCUGAUGCAGCCAUGCCGCGUGUAUGAAGAAGGCCUUCGGGUUGUAAAGUACUUUCAGCGGGGAGGAAGGGAGUAAAGUUAAUACCUUUGCUCAUUGACGUUACCCGCAGAAGAAGCACCGGCUAACUCCGUGCCAGCAGCCGCGGUAAUACGGAGGGUGCAAGCGUUAAUCGGAAUUACUGGGCGUAAGGCGCACGCAGGCGGUUUGUUAAGUCAGAUGUGACAUCCCCGGGCUCAACCUGGGAACUGCAUCUGAUACUGGCAAGCUUG